Long non-coding RNA from Ictalurus punctatus (channel catfish), 1764 nucleotides. The record is from Ensembl. Lineage: Eukaryota; Metazoa; Chordata; Actinopteri; Siluriformes; Ictaluridae.
CUCAUUACUGCCCCUCAGUAUCAUUAUUUCCUCUUAUUACUACCUCUCACCUGCAUUAUUGCUCUUCAGGCUUGUGUUGCCCCUUAUCACUGCCCCUUACUGACAUUAUUACCCCAAUGUUGAUUGAGACUCAGUCGUGAAUCAGAGGGUGAAUGAAUUUAAUCUGAUUAUUAGAAUCAGAUUCUGUUCCUCUGUGUCACUCUGAUACAGUUAACAUCCUGGUUCAUUAAUAUUUAAAUUAAUCUGCUGAUGAAUGAAUUACUGAUUCAGUUAUUCACUUCUGGCUUAAAGCCACACCCACAUUUCCAUAUACGGUGCUGUGAAGAAGUAUUUAGUUUCUUCUGUAUUCGUGUGUAUCUCGGACUAAAUAGUUUUAGAUCUUCAAAUGAAAUACAACAUAAAAUGAAGGUAACAUGAGUAAACACACAUUAUAAAGGUUUAUUUUUUUACUGAAGCAAAAAAGUUUCUCAACACCUAUCACCCAUGUGAAAAACUAAUUGCCCCCUUAAACUUAAAAUCUGGUUGUACUGCCUUUAUCAGCAAUAGCUGCAACCAAACACUUCCGAUAACUGGAGAUCAGUCUUUCACUUACUUCUAGGACUAGGACUUACUCCUGUGCUUUGGAUCACUGUCUUGCUGCAUAAUCCAGUUACGCUUGAGUUUCAACUUACGGACUAAAGACCAGAUAUUCUCCUUCAGAAUUUUCUGGUAGAGAGCAGAAUUCAUGUUUCCCUCAAUUACUGCAAGUUGCCCAGACCCUGAAGCAGCAGAGCAUCCCCACACCAUCACACUUCCACCACCAUGCUUGACCGUAGGUAUGAUGUUCUUUUUGUGGAAUUCGGUGUUUGGUUUUCUCCAGAUGUAACGGGAGCCUGUCUUCCAAACAGUUCCACUUUGCACUCAUCAGUCCACGGAACAUUCUCCCAAAAGAUUUGAGGAUCAUCAAGGUGUGUUUUGUGAAAUUCAGUCGAGUCUUAAUGUUCUUCUGGUUUAGCAGUGGUUCCCUUUCAAAGGGAACUUUGACGUUGCAUUUAGCAUAACAGUAUAGGAGCACCUUGCACACGUGACUGGUGUCUGAAGCUUGUAUAAAAUCAUGCCUCUACUUAUAGGCCUGCCAUGAUCAGGUGACAUGGCAAUUAAGCACGUAGCAUGAUAUAUAUGGCACCUGUGAACCACGCUGCCAGCCUUAUUAUCUUCAGCGAGACUGCAUGUCUGUUGUUUGUGUGACAAAAGAAAAAGAAACGCUUCAUUUCUACUCUAUAUUUCUCAAUAUCUCUCAACUUUUCUAACCCUUUUUUAGAAAAAGAAAAGAAAAGAGAGUGAAAGAAUGAGCGAGAGGGAUUUCGGGAAGUGUGUUACACCUUGCUUCCUGUUUCAUCACGGGAGGAGACGGACACGCUUUCUGCGUGAAGUGUUUGGGCAUAGAGCAUGCUACAGCAGCCCUCGAGGGGUCUGACUGUCAGCAUUGUGAACGUUUCACGAUUAGGCAACUACGCUCUCGGCUCGCUCUCUUCUCGUCCGAAGGGAGCUGGGUUUCAGAGCCUCAUUGAUCUGGGCCAGCCACUGCCGAGGCAGCCAGCCAGCUCAGGUCCUGGGGUUCUUGUAUGGAUUUGGAAGAGGAGCCAGAGACGAGCGUUGCUCUAUCUCUUGCUCUGUCUUCCGGGUCCGGCUCUCCACCUGACCUUAGAGCUUGUGUCGCGACUCCUCCUUCCUCUAUGGAAAGCCAAAACACCCUCGCUGACUCCCGAGUUGUCGGUAGAGGGU